ACGCUCGACACCUACGGGGGGCAGCAGUGGGGAAUAUUGCACAAUGGGGGAAACCCUGAUGCAGCGACGCCGCGUGAGUGAAGAAGUAUUUCGGUAUGUAAAGCUCUAUCAGCAGGGAAGAAGAUGACGGUACCUGAGUAAGAAGCCCCGGCUAACUACGUGCAGCAGCCGCGGUAAUCUGAGCGGGCUGGCAAGGC
Molecule: ribosomal RNA, 197 nt
Filed under: uncultured bacterium
Lineage: Bacteria
Description: partial 16S ribosomal RNA
Rfam family: Bacterial small subunit ribosomal RNA
Source: RNAcentral